AUUUCCGUAUUUUUCGCGCUAAGGCACGGCGGACUUGUAGGCAAGCCCGACGAACAUCCUGGAAAAAAUUUGUCUCGGGGAUAACAUCUCGCACUCCGAUGACAAAAGUUUGGAAUAUGGUACAAAAAAUAAAAGGUAAAAAUUCUAAAGCCACUGUAAAACAUUUGAAAGACGGCAAUGAUUUAUUAACAUCUGAAAAGGAUAUUGCCAACAAGCUUGGUGAAACUUUUGCGAAAUCUUCUUCUUGUAACAACUACAGGGAAGAUUUUUAAAAAGUUAAUAAACAAAAAGAGAAAAUUAAAUUAAACUUUAAAUCAAAAAAUGGUGAAAAUUAUAAUAAACUAUUUUCUCUUGAAGAACUUAAAACAUCUCUGUCAAAAGCCCAUGAUACAGCUUGUGGGCCUGAUAAUAUUCACUACCAACUCUUAAAACACUUGCCAGAUUCCUCGCUGGAAGCUCUCUUGCAGCUCAUGAAUAACAUCUGGGAAUCUGGUGAUUUACCAUCAAUCUGGAAGCUUGCAACCGUCGUGCCUAUUCCAAAACCAAGUAAAGAUCACACGGAUCCUAUUAAUUAUCGACCAA
RNAcentral lists this long non-coding RNA (582 nucleotides) under Mytilus galloprovincialis (Mediterranean mussel). The record is from RNAcentral. Lineage: Eukaryota; Metazoa; Mollusca; Bivalvia; Mytilida; Mytilidae.